RNAcentral lists this ribosomal RNA (442 nucleotides) under uncultured Synergistaceae bacterium. Its description in RNAcentral is "bacterial SSU rRNA". It matches the Rfam family "Bacterial small subunit ribosomal RNA", at positions 338 to 795 of the family's 1533-position model. The record is from RNAcentral. Lineage: Bacteria; Thermotogati; Synergistota; Synergistia; Synergistales; Synergistaceae.
CCUACGGGGGGCUGCAGUGGGGAAUAUUGGGCAAUGGGGGAAACCCUGACCCAGCGACGCCGCGUGAGGGAAGAAGGCCUUAGGGUCGUAAACCUCUGUUGUGUGGGAAGAAGAGCGUGACGGUACCACACGAGGAAGUCCCGGCUAACUACGUGCCAGCAGCCGCGGUAAUACGUAGGGGACGAGCGUUGUCCGGAUUUACUGGGCGUAAAGGGCGCGUAGGCGGUCAUUUAAGUCAGCUGUGAAAUGGUUUGGCUUAACCGGAUCAUGCGGUUGAAACUGGAUGACUGGAGUGCUGGAGAGGCAAGUGGAAUUCCCAGUGUAGCGGUGAAAUGCGUAGAUAUUGGGAAGAACACCGGUGGCGAAGGCGACUUGCUGGCCAGCAACUGACGCUGAGGCGCGAAAGCCAGGGGAGCAAACGGGAUUAGAUACCCCGGUAGUC